Non-coding RNA from Struthio camelus australis, 3020 nucleotides. NCBI's taxonomy places the organism in Eukaryota, Metazoa, Chordata, Aves, Struthioniformes, Struthionidae. The record is from RefSeq and is a predicted model, not a curated record.
AGAGUGGACUUGACUGCCAAGAAGGUCCGCGCCUCUGGCCCCUUACGGCCAGUCCUAGUGUCAGAAAGCAAGGAGGCAGACUGAGCUCUCAGACCUGGCACAGUUUUAUGGGCAGGGUGAAUACCAGCAGCUAAAGCAGAACUUGGACUGACUUGAAGUGGAGAAAGGAGCUGUGAAACUCAAAGUGACACUCCAAAGCAAAUCCUAAUUGGGCAUGUACGUGACAUUCAUCACACAGCGAUGCAGAUGCAGUAUCUGGGUCUCUGAAACAUGUGACUCCUGUGAACACUGUACGGAUUCUCAAGGCUACGCGAGGCUUUGCUGCCUUCAGUGCACUCUGAAGACAUUGCUGCUCAAGACAUUGCUUCUCUGCUGCCUUCUUUGGCAACAGAAACAGGAAUCGCUCUUCAAAUUAACAGCUAGCUCUUCAUACCACCGUGUUUUUGGGCAACGAUUUUGGUUGCCAGAGACAGACCCAAAUGUUCCUAUUUCUCUCUCACUCUUGGAUCCAAGAGAGUUUCUCCACUUAGAUCAUGUUAGCCAAAAUUCUGUGAGUACCCAGUUCCUCUUGAUUUCAUGGGAAAUAAGGACCUUGUCUCCUCUCAGAUAUGGAUUAUAUGAAGUAAGUAGUGGCUUUCAGCUCAGCAUAUAACAGCAUUUCAGGUCUGCUGAUCCUACUCAAUUGACAAGGAUGGUGAUUUUUUUCAAGUUGUGAUGCAUAUUGGAGAUAAUGGUGGCAUUCUUUUAAAAAUUAUUCAUCUACCAUAAAUGCUUGAAAGCAUUCCACUUUUAUUUCUGUCUUCUCAGGAGGAAGAGCUGGAUCUCUUUUAUCUGACCAUUGAAAUACAUUUUCCACAGAUUUUUUUAUAUUGAACGUGGAACCAACAAAUGCUGCAUUGCUUUUCCAGCUGGGCUAUUUAUAAUAGUUCUCAGUAACUUUUCAAUGUGACAUUUCAAUUCAGUACUUAUACUUUUUGGAAAGCAGAAGCAGAUUUUUCGGGGAGUGGAGUGCUGUGUGUUAAAAGAGCUUGGAAGACACUUUUUUCUACUAAGGAGGAACAUGUGGCACAAAACUGCUUGGCAUCUUUUUAGAAACAUGAUGAAGAUAGUUUUGCUUCUUUUUUCCAUCAGUUUUAGGAAGAACUUUCGAUUUUCUUUGAUACUACCUCUGCAGCAACUUCCCACUGCUCUGCUCCUAGUUUUCAACGUUACAUACUCUUGUCACAAGGCAUUGUAGCUACUAGUGACUGAUGUCUGAAUGCUUAACAAUUUUCAGAAUUAACCCUCGCUAAUUUUCCCCAAAGAUUGCUCUCUUUCAUUCAUAACAUGUUUUUACCUGCAUCUUGGGUGGAACAGGAGGAGGAAGAAUGCGAAUGUAGCUGUGUAUACCAACUCCAGUGCAUGAGGCAGAGAGCAGAAAUGCAUAAUGUAUCUGUGUCUUUGGAUUUGGCUGAAUGGAGACUAUCACCCAAAUUAUUUUAAAAAGAGUUACUGCUAUGCCAUAUGUAGGUUUAGAAGUAACCAGUCUUUGACCAGAUACAUUUCUGACUUUGGAAUCUGGUGUUUUCAACUGCAAUCAUUUUUCUCUUACUUGUGGCAGAAGUCAAGGAAUGAUAUCAAGGCAAUUUGUCUGUUUUUUAUUUCUCAUGUUUCAUUAGCUGUUGAAAAGCAGUGAGAUCUGGCAUCCCAGUAGACAGUGCUCAGGAACAGACCUCCAGAUGUGGGGGAAGCAGUAGGUUUGGGGGAUUUUUCAUUAUUUUACCUUUUAGUUUAGUUCUUUCAAACGAUAUUUUACUGAAGAAGUUAGAUAUGCACUUGAGAGGCAUGUACCUAUCUCUGGAACACAGGAACACAGGGCUAAUAAUUGUCUCCAUAAUCCUGAAAGACUGUGAGAUUUAAGCGGUCUGUAGAGCCUUUAAGAUACCUGGAGAAAAGACCCUAGAAAGGGCAGUAUACUUUUGGCCAUGGCAGUAGAACAAGAGUGGCAAUGGUUGCUUCAGUUUGUCUGCAACAGUGAUUUUUUAGAAAUGCUUCUUUGUUUGAGCUUUCAAAAUCAUCACUGCUGUGGGAUACAUCAUCCAGAUCUGAUCUUUGUUGGAAUGUGACAUUUGUCCUGCAUAUUGGAGAAGCAGUAUACUAUAUAUUUUUGAGAGUGACAUUUCUUUCUAUUAUUUUAUCCUUUGAAUAUCUAGCCUUUCAUAGAUUAAUUUUAAUCUCAUAAAAGCAGAGUGAUCCACUGCCCGCAAGCUGGGCCUGGGAAUCGGCAGAUAGGUUAGACGUUAGGUAUGCUGUUCUCCAAGGCAUAACAGUUUUAUUAAUUCAUUCUGCUGUGACACAGUUGAUCCAGACCUGGAGUCAUGUGACUCCAGAACACCCCAUUGUGGAAAGCACACUGAAUAUUCCUUCCCUUACCAGUGUUUUUGUUUGUUUGUUUUUGUUAGUUUGUUUAUUUUUCCUCUGUAAAAGAAAGGGGAAAAAAAGAAAACUAAUUUUUUUUUAAAAAGUCUCAUUUUCCUUCAUGUUUCUUGGGACUUCCUUGUAAAUCUCUAUCAUUCAGCAUCUUUGGUAAUCUCAUUUCAAAUCAUGGAAUAGAUUAAGAAUAAUACGGAGUAUAUUUCCAAAUAUCCUUUUUUUUGUGCAUGUGAGGAAUAUAUCAAAUAUAGUGGUCUCUGACAUGUGGUUUUAUUUGUAGUCCAUUCAUUCAUUUCAUUUUGUGUGUGUGUGCUUACCAACAGAGUAAUGAGCUUUUUCCUGUAUCCACUGGCAUAUUAGGAAUUUUGCCUUCUAAGAAUUGUGGAGAUGAGUAAUUUGGCUUAUCAGAUAACAGGGAAAUGUUCUUCAUAGGCAAAGAGAUGCUAAGUGUUUUAUGGCUGUAACGCACAUCAUCCAGAUAUGUAAGAGAAAAAAAAAGGCUUUGCACUUCAUUGACGUUUGUAGUUCAUGUUGUAACUUCAGAGACAUCUGACCUUUUUAACAAUCACCUGGACGUGAUCCUGCGCAAUGUGCUCUAGAGGACCCUG